RNAcentral lists this ribosomal RNA (485 nucleotides) under uncultured Desulfobulbus sp. RNAcentral's name for it is "bacterial SSU rRNA". It matches the Rfam family "Bacterial small subunit ribosomal RNA", at positions 903 to 1382 of the family's 1533-position model. Lineage: Bacteria; Pseudomonadati; Thermodesulfobacteriota; Desulfobulbia; Desulfobulbales; Desulfobulbaceae. The record is from RNAcentral.
AAAGGAAUUGACGGGGGCCCGCACAAGCGGUGGAGUAUGUGGUUUAAUUUGAUGCAACGCGAAGAACCUUACCUGGUCUUGACAUCCCGGAGACCCUUAGGAAACUAGGGGGUGCUUCCAUCUGGAAGAAUCUGGAGACAGGUGCUGCAUGGCUGUCGUCAGCUCGUGUCGUGAGAUGUUGGGUUAAGUCCCGCAACGAGCGCAACCCUUGCCUUUAGUUGCCAGCAGUUCGGCUGGGCACUCUAAAGGGACUGCCGGUGUUAAACCGGAGGAAGGUGGGGAUGACGUCAAGUCCUCAUGGCCUUUAUGACCAGGGCUACACACGUACUACAAUGGCCGAUACAAAGGGCAGCGACACUGCGAGGUGAAGCCAAUCCCGUAAAAUCGGUCUCAGUCCGGAUUGGAGUCUGCAACUCGACUCCAUGAAGUUGGAAUCGCUAGUAAUCGUGGAUCAGCAUGCCACGGUGAAUACGUUCCCGGGCCUU